GAUGAACGCUGGCGGUAUGCUUAACACAUGCAAGUCGAACGGACUCUUCGGAGUUAGUGGCGGACGGGUGAGUAACGCGUGAGAAUCUGGCUUUGGGUUCGGGACAACCACUGGAAACGGUGGCUAAUACCGGAUGUGCCGAGAGGUAAAAGAGAAAUUGCCUGAAGAUGAGCUCGCGUCUGAUUAGCUAGUUGGUGAGGUAAAGGCUCACCAAGGCAGCGAUCAGUAGCUGGUCUGAGAGGAUGACCAGCCACACUGGGACUGAGACACGGCCCAGACUCCUACGGGAGGAAGGAGUGGGGAAUUGUCCACAAUGGGCGAAGGCCUGACGGAGCAAUACCGCGUGAGGGAAGAAGGCUCUUGGGUUGUAAACCUCUUUUCUUAGGGAAGAACAAAAUGACGGUACCUAAGGAAUAAGCAUCGGCUAACUCCGUG
RNAcentral lists this ribosomal RNA (435 nucleotides) under uncultured bacterium. Its description in RNAcentral is "partial 16S ribosomal RNA". It matches the Rfam family "Bacterial small subunit ribosomal RNA", at positions 28 to 507 of the family's 1533-position model. The record is from RNAcentral.